This is a long non-coding RNA of Myotis myotis, 747 nucleotides long. RefSeq lists it as uncharacterized. The record is from RefSeq and is a predicted model, not a curated record. The transcript has 2 exons. Lineage: Eukaryota; Metazoa; Chordata; Mammalia; Chiroptera; Vespertilionidae.
CCCACGAAUCGCGCGAGGGAACUGCGACUGGACGCGCGGAACACGCAGCGCCCGAGGAGUUGCCAGGGGCUGCAGAUGGCGCUUCCUUUUCACUGGUCAAGAGCCAUGAAGGCCGGGUGAAGGGCCUCGCGGGCCGCGGACCCCCGCUUACCUGUGGCCCGGAUCCCACCCGCACACCUGCGGCACCUCACGCUGAGGAGCUGGAACCUCCGCAGCCACCUGCGCGCACCCACCCGGAUCCACUAGGGCCGAAACCACUUCCGGUCCUGCGACGGGCUCGGGGGACGUCAUCCCCGCCGGGGUGAUCAAGUGGGCGGCGCCAUCUUGUACGGAAGCUGCUGGGGCAGCGGUUGCCUGGCCAGUUUCUUCACUGGGGAACAAAGGGUCGGUUACAAUUCGAAAAGCUUAUAACGUCUCUUGAGAAACAUGGUGUUUUCUUUUUGUUUCCAGGGUGAAGUUUUUUUUCUGGAACCCUCACAAAUGCCAUAGGGAAACAUCUAAUUAUCAUUACUAAUUAGCUCCAGGAGUGUUUUUCUGCUGUAUUAAUUUACUUAACUGUUAAAUAAUGAAGGUAAAUAGGAGGGACACUUGUUUAAAUAAUGUAUUGCUCACUAGCAGUGUAUUUUGUACUAUAGCCAUUAUAAUAAUUUAUGCCUUCUUUUGUAACAACCACAAUACCUUCCGUUUAUAUUGAAAAUAGUUCACUCAGCCAGUCUUUAUCAGCAAUAAAGUAUGUGCUGCAGCUGG